Molecule: ribosomal RNA, 590 nt
Filed under: uncultured bacterium
Lineage: Bacteria
Description: bacterial SSU rRNA
Rfam family: Bacterial small subunit ribosomal RNA
Source: RNAcentral
ACAAUGGGGGCAACCUGAUCCCAGCCAUUCCGCGUGAGUSAAGAAGGCCUUCGGGUUGUAAAGCUCUUUCGGCAGGAACGAAACGGUGGGCUCUAACAUAGUCCGCUAAUGACGGUACCUGAAGAAGAAGCACCGGCUAACUACGUGCCAGCAGCCGCGGUAAUACGUAGGGUGCGAGCSUUAAUCGGAAUUACUGGGCGUAAAGCGUGCGCAGGCGGUUGUGUAAGACAGGUGUGAAAUCCCCGGGCUUAACCUGGGAACUGCGCUUGUGACUGCACGGCUAGAGUAUGGCAGAGGGGGGUGGAAUUCCACGUGUAGCAGUGAAAUGCGUAGAGAUGUGGAGGAACACCGAUGGCGAAGGCAGCCCCCCUGGGCCAAUACUGACGCUCAUGCACGAAAGCGUGGGGAGCAAACAGGAUUAGAUACCCUGGUAGUCCACGCCCCUAAACGAUGUCGACUAGGUGUUCGGUGAGGAGACUCAUUGAGUACCGCAGCUAACGCGUGAAGUCGACCGCCUGGGGAGUACGGUCGCAAGAUUAAAACUCAAAGGAAUUGACGGGGACCGCACAAGCGUGGAUGAUGUGGAUUAA